This 109-nucleotide small nuclear RNA is filed under the name Prolemur simus (greater bamboo lemur). Lineage: Eukaryota; Metazoa; Chordata; Mammalia; Primates; Lemuridae. The record is from RNAcentral.
GUGCUCACUUUGGCAGCACAUAUAUUAAAAUUGGAACGAUACAGAGAAGAUUAGCCUGGCCCCUGUGCAAGAACGACACACGCAAAUUGGGGAAGCAUCCAACAUUUUA